RNAcentral lists this transfer RNA (87 nucleotides) under Geobacteraceae bacterium. RNAcentral describes it as "tRNA-Ser". Lineage: Bacteria; Pseudomonadati; Thermodesulfobacteriota; Desulfuromonadia; Geobacterales; Geobacteraceae. The record is from RNAcentral.
CGCUGGCCACGGCGUGCUUGACCGCCUCGUUGCUGCCAAGACUCGCCCGCACGGUGAGGGUGGCCGGUGCGACGCCGGCGCUGGUCA